RNAcentral lists this long non-coding RNA (550 nucleotides) under Rattus norvegicus (Norway rat). RNAcentral describes it as "long non-coding RNA NONRATT014427". Lineage: Eukaryota; Metazoa; Chordata; Mammalia; Rodentia; Muridae. The record is from RNAcentral.
AAAAGAGUUACAGUGGAAUGAUGUGUGAAGCUCUUUCUUCUUGUCUUCCACAGUCAGCCUGGGCCUCAGCCAGACAGCAGUUGCCCAAAGAGGCCAAAAGAAGGCAUUGGAGCCCCUGGAACUGAAAUUACUGGAGGUUGUGAACUGCCAGUAUGGGUGCUGGAAAUUGGACCUGCGUCCUCUGCUACAGCGGGUCCGAGUCCUAACAGCAUACUCGUAUCCAGUUCUUCAGUUAAAAGAGAAACACAGAGAAGAAGAUGUUACCUCAUUUUUACUGAAAAUGCUGAUCCUGGAAACUGGGCUUACUCAUACAGAUAUAAACUGCCUUCUCAUUCUUUCUCCCUGGAGAAUGGCCAGGCUGGCUUCCACAGUGUGCUGGAACAGAGCAGAUACUGUUUCUGCAAAGUUAUUCGGGGGAUCAGAAGAGGCAAUCACCUUGAUAAGCAUGUGAACUCUGGAGUCAGGCUGUCUGGGUUCUAAUCUCAGUAGCUUACUAUUGCUCUCUUGUCUUUUUACCCCUGGCUGAUAAAAUACAGGCUGUUCUAGUCCU